CUGAACUCAUUACCUUUCUUCUUCCAGAAUCAAAACCCACUGAACUCAUACAAGUCGCCGGAAAACGCAGACUCGUUGGUCCCCGUAGGAAGAAGAAACUUCAGGUUUUCCUUCUUUUCUUCCUCUCCUUUUUUUUUUCUCGCGAAAAUGCUAUUCCAUCGAUAUCGUGAUUGACUGAACUCAUUCAUGUAUGCUUCAAUUUUAAUAUCAUUUACCAUCUCUGUUGUCUCCUUCCUUGUUCCACCACCAACUUCCAUAAUGUUCAAUCC
This 269-nucleotide long non-coding RNA is filed under the name Trifolium pratense (red clover). RNAcentral describes it as "long non-coding RNA (TPRA_LNC007642)". The record is from RNAcentral. Lineage: Eukaryota; Viridiplantae; Streptophyta; Magnoliopsida; Fabales; Fabaceae.